AGAGCGAACGCUGGCGGCAUGCUUAACACAUGCAAGUCGCACGGGCAGUAGUGAUACUGUUAGUGGCGGACGGGUGAGUAACGCGUAGGAAUCUAUCCUUGAAUGGGGGACAACCGUGGGAAACUACGGCUAAUACCGCAUGAUGCCUGAGGGCCAAAGACGAGAGUCGUUUGGGGAGGAGCCUGCGUCUGAUUAGCUAGUUGGUGGGUAAAGCCUACCAAGGCGUCGAUCAGUAGCUGGUCUGAGAGGAUGAUCAGCCACAUUGGGACUGAGACACGGCCCAAACUCCGUACGGGAGGCAGC
This 303-nucleotide ribosomal RNA is filed under the name uncultured prokaryote. RNAcentral describes it as "bacterial SSU rRNA". It matches the Rfam family "Bacterial small subunit ribosomal RNA", at positions 26 to 352 of the family's 1533-position model. The record is from RNAcentral.